Long non-coding RNA from Sorghum bicolor (sorghum), 5846 nucleotides. RefSeq lists it as uncharacterized. The transcript is spliced from 4 exons. The record is from RefSeq and is a predicted model, not a curated record. NCBI's taxonomy places the organism in Eukaryota, Viridiplantae, Streptophyta, Magnoliopsida, Poales, Poaceae.
AAAAAACUUACCUUGACAGAAAAAACCCCGCUCCCAUCCUCUUCCUCACGGUCUCUUACGAAGCGUGGCCUCCUGCAAACUGCGCAGCCGCCGCCAUCUCCCCCCUCGUCCCUUCCUCUCCCCCUCUGCCCCCCUCUCCCUCGAUGUGCUGGCGUGCUGGCCUCCUCCUCCAUCUCUGCUUUUCAUCUUCCCUCUCUCGAUGCCGCGGCACGUUGACUGGCGAACAGCGCAGGCGGCAUGGCGGCGCAAGGCCACCGGCGGCCUCCCGCAGGACACAGCACGACGCGCGCGGCCCCUCAGGUCGCAACCGGCGUGGGUGCCCCUGAUACGGCCUUCUCCCCUCGUUCCUCCUGUGCUCGUGUGCUACAGGAAACCCUAGGUGCCUCUGCUCAAGGACCCCGGCUGCACGUUCCCUCUUUCCUUUGCGCCGGCAGCUCAGCUCCGUAGCCGGAUGUGGCGGUUGCUGGCCCCUCCACCUAGGGUUCUGCAGCGGCGGCGGCGGCGCCGUGUCGUCCCCUCCCCGCUUCUCUCUCGGUGUGCACAGGCUAUGCCACCAGGUAUUGAUAGGUAUGGAUGGAUACGGGCACUUCUCCUACCCUAUUUGUGCUUGAUCUUCAGUGUUUAGUCUAUUUCUAAUCUGCUCAGCAUGCGGUUGUUGUAGGUUUGCUAAGUGGUAAUGAAUGUUUCUUUUGUAGAUUACUGCCUUCUGUGUUCUCUAACUGUGAACCUUGUUUUAUAAAUGUCAUUUAAUUUUUCCGCAGCGGCAAUCUCUCCUAUGCUGCUGGCCAAACGACAAAAGGUUCAGCCCACAUCUCUAUAAUCCCCUCAUUUACAAAUAGACUGCUUAGUGUUGUGUUGUAGUAUGGCAAAAAACUAUGCCAAAAGAAAUACCAAGCAAUGAAAAAAACACAUUCAGGAAACAUAUGGUUUAGGUGGAUCUAAUUUUGCUACUUCAGUUGUCAUUGUUGUUAAGUGAUAAUUGAGAAGGAUGAUGUUGCCAAAAAUGCUUCAGGAGCUUAUCACCUAUACGGAGUGAGUUCACAUAUUCUUUGCCUACAUUUUAAUUUAUGUUUAUUGAAUUCUUGUGGGAUUAUUAUAGAUAUGGUCCGUUCAUGGUUUACCAAUGGUUGAACAUGUUCCUUUAUUUUCAAAUUUUUUUUACAAGGAUGAAGUUUCAGAGCACAAAAGUUAUACCAAGAUUAUCUUUUGCCUUUAUGUUUUUUUUCCUACGGAGUAUAUUAGUCUUGCAUGAAUCAAAUACUUUGGAAUAUAGGAAGGCCUGGUUAGUGGGUCUCCUCAACAUGCACAACAUUUUAUUUAGGUUCCUUUCUUACCAUCAAACACAUCUAAAUUCCGGUGAUUAUUUUUCUCUACAAAAGUUCCUCUGUUUGAGCGGGUGGGCUUCAGUUCAUCUAACUGUUGUUGCAUUUAUGCAUUUGUAGAUUGAUUUUGUUCUCCUGGAUAUCAUCUACAGCCUGCCCUAUCACUACAGCAGCCAAGACGAGAAUCGACAUGCCUACAUUUUUCCUUAUUUUGGUGAUUGAAAAAGCCUUUUCUCCUUACUUUACCUCCAUGAAAAUUAUCUGAAAGUUCACAUAAUUGGUUGGGUGUUAUAUCACUCAGCACACCCCAUUUCCAAUGAUGUAUUUACUUAGCAUGGAUUCAUAUUUGGGUGGCUGCUAUGGGUGCCUCUCGGGCCACGUCUCAAAAUUGCUCCUGUGGGCACCGUUCAGCCAUGUCGUCAGUCCACACCAUGCUCGAGGAUAUGAUCUGAUGUUGAUUCGCUUGUGAGGUACUGGGCAUGUCCUAUUACGUACAUUAUGCAAUAUGCAAUUUCUAAGAGUAACACAUUUGUCAACAUGCCUUGAAGCUCCAAGCUGAUGAGCAAAUGAUGAUUGAUGGAUUACUGAGGCUUCUAACAAUCCUGUCAUCAUUGGAAAAAAUUCUUACCUUUUUUAUUGUUGCAACAGAAAUAGAGUUUUAAGUCAUGAGAGAGCCCAUCAUAUGCACUGUAGUCCUAUUUAUAUUUUCCCUGCACUCAUUUUGCUUACAACUUGCAGCUGAAAAAGAUCUUACACCUCAUCAUAACCAUGGGUACAUAUUUUUCAUUCUAUAAUGAAUGCUUCAAAACCAUGAAUUUUCUAGAAGAUUAGCAUAUUACUGAAUGCUAGAUGAUAACCAUAUCAUUGUUUUUAUAUUUGUGUCAUUGGUCAUGCCAAUUAUCUAUCAAUCUAGGUUUAUGCAAAAGAAAGGUCCUUGUCCAACGAGGAUAAGUAGGUCAAGGUUUCCCUAUUUGUGCUCCCUGUGAUUAUUGAGCUCUUGCUUUCCAAACUGCCAUAGGGUGCUAAUGAAGAUUGAUGUCUCCUUAAUACUGCUUUUUAUUAUUCGACAAAAAAACAUUGUCUGUGGAGUUUUUUUUUCCUAUACUUUGGUUCAGAAUGCUAAUGAUGGUCAAUGUCAUGCUCGGCAUAUUCUCAGAUUCAACUUGCACAACACAGGAAAAAAAGGAUUCGGUGAAGCCUUGCCAUUACUAAACUAUUUCCCCCUUUCUAUACCUGUACAAAAUAUUUUGCUAGAGGGAUUCAGAUUGUUAAGCUGUUCUGCUUGUGUCAUCUAUGUACAAUACAACUGGUCUAUCAAGAUUAAAGCAGCCAUUUUAAAAUUAAUUAUGUUUCCUUCCUCUAGACAGUGCAGUGCAAAUGGAAGACAUUGGUGAACACCCGCUUUAAACUUUGUGUCUUUCAAGCCUUCCUCUUUCAACCAGAAACUCAGGUACCAUGUUUUUCUCAUCCGCUCAGUUUUGUGGGUUCCAAUUGAUCCUUUUCUAUUAAGACCAUCCAACAUUUACAGAUUAAAGAUGAUUUCCUAUGAUCUCUAACUCUAGAUUUUCUUGACUCGAUGGCAUCCUGAAUAUGACCGUUUAUACCUAUGUUUUCUUACUAAGAUCAGUAUAUCCUCUAAUGUAUUAUGUUUGUAUCAACUUCUCAUCGGCAAUCCGGACUCUAAUAUACCAGUAUAUAGUAUUAGCCAUAUGUAAUAUAUAAAUUUUUAAGGCGUGUAUGCAUCAAUGUACCCUAAUUAUAUGUAUCACCGUUGUAUGCGACACGUGUAUUGCGCCUGUAUAAACCUAAAAAUACCCACCUGAACCAUAUGUAAUAUACAUUUGCAGCACUAUGUUUUCUAUGUAGACGACUGUUUAUGGCAUAUGCACCAUGUAUGAUAUACAUAGCCCUAUGUAACAUAUGUAAGUCCUCUGUACCUAUGCAUCAAUGUUGUAUAAGUCUUACGCAUACAAAACUAAAGGUAUCCUCCCUUCUCCUCUACCUGUUGUGUGACACAGAGCACCCAAACCCUAGCUUUCGUCAAACUCUCUGGUAUAUAGAUGUGCUUUGUUUUUCUUUUUCUUACCAAUUUCCUGAUCAAAGUUGUGCCUUUGCUUGGUUACAUGGAUGAAUGGUUAUAGUUAAUUAUCAGCUACUUGGGAUGAGUAUCUUUUAUAUGUUCUGGGUACAAACAAAUGGAAUUGUUCCGGUUACUUCUUCACAUAAUCCAUGUUUCUUCUCGCGGCCUCCAUGGACCAUAGUCCACCAAAAAUAAAGUGUUGAUGCUUAUUUAGAUAUUGUAUUGUCAGACUUUAUGAAAUUAAAUAGUCCAUGAGAGUUUGGCUGGUUUCCCCUCAUUACCAUAUCGUAGAUUGUAUCUCUCAUUAUAUGAUGUUUGCCUACAUGUUCUGACAAAUAUAGCCAAACCAUUUUACUUCUCGGAUGCUUGCAAGCAUCAACCAAUGAAUUGCAAGCCUAAGAAGGUAGAGAAACAACAUCAAUCAGGAACACAUGGAUCAACCAAUGGAUGAUACGUGUGUCCAAGUCGUGGUGGGGAUAUGAGAUUUGCCCAAGCUUGGCUCAGUGACCAUUACUGCUAUUCCUGCAGUCCAAAUGUGUUGCCUCGAACAUAGGUCCAUGUAAUCUUCCUAAACCCACAACCUCCUAUAUAUGCUUAUAUCACAUGAGUGAGAUUACAGCUUGCAUACUUCCAUCAAUCUCUUUUAGUGUCUGUCUUAGUAUCUAAAUUACUGUGGACCUGCUUUAAUAAAUAGAGUCCCUUUUUUGUUGGAAGCAUUAUUAGUGCAGACCUGUCUUAGUAUCUUAGUUAGCUAUGGACAGUACAAUGUCUACUGCCUAAGUAGUUAUGUCUUCCAUACUUUGCACGACAGUUUCUUACAUACAGCGCUCUGUUUCAACCACAGACUGAUAUAGAGGUACAAUUUUGCUGGAUUGAUUGAUUAGUGUAUAAGCAGCACAGCUGAAAAGGCCUGCACAAACCAGAUGGUUGCCAUUGGCUUUUACUCAAAUUGGUCGUCAAUGGCAAAUAUGAUAUCAUCUCAUUUUAGCUUCAGUUUCUAACUAAGUCGUUUCGUUUUUUUAAUGAUUUUGAAUGGUGUGGAACUUCUGCUUAUUGAAGUUUGAUAGGCUGCAAUGAGUCAUCAUGUUAAUACAUGGUGCUACAAGGAACAUAUCAGGUUCUGUCCUAAAUCGCAUAUACCUUUUGAAGCUUCACAUGACUUUUGCUAUGGGAAUAAGAUCUUGCGUUUAACUGCUAAUUAUAGGAACUAAUCACUUUAUUUUAGUUCUACUCUAUGGUUUAGUGACCCUCAAUUUCAAUCUCUCGUUUGCUAGGUAAACCAUGAGUUUUAAGAUAGUGGUCAAUGACUUAUUUAACAUUAAAUUUUCUUCAGCGAGUUCUUCACAUGCUUAUGGUUUUAAAUAGACUCAGUCCAUACAUAACACCUCGUUAUAUUAUGUUAUUUGUGUACCCAAAAUUCAUAAAAGCUUGGACAGAUGCACGCAUGUUCACUUGAUUUUUUAUGUUACCUGUUACAACUUAUUAUUUUAGCCGUUUUUCGUGCAUCAGAUAUGCUGGUUACGUUGACUAAAACAUAGAUGACAGUUGUCUUAGUUGUAUAAGCUAUAUUAGCAUUUGUCUGAGAAUUGAGAGAAUUUUCAGAAUCUAUAGCAAAGCAGAGGGUGGCUAUGCUCCCUAUGAUAUGUUAAUUUGUUCAUGUUAUCAUAUUUGAUGAUCUAUUGAUCUGUCCUCAAUUUUUUUCUGUUAGUUCCAGUUGCUGCAUAUGUAGGCUUCCAUCUACUUCACAUCUGCUCCCAUUAAAACUAUGCCAUCUCUAAUUUUCUUGAUAACCUUUUCUAUCCACGUGACUUCAGGUAUGUUGUGGUGGCGUAUUCUGCAUUCCUUUGGUCAUCUGCAUUCCUUUGGUCAUUGGCAGGAGUUCUUACUUGCUCUCGUCGGCUGUUGUUCAAGUAACUUUAUCUUCUUUUGCUCUUAGUACCCAGACCUUAGUCGCAUUGUUUUAGUGGUGUUAUCCCUACCUUUACAGAUGAGUGCAACACCUUUCUUUUUUUAUGGAACUGGAGGGGCCUCGGCCCCUACAGGUGAUUUUAUUAACACAUUAAGAAAAGUUUACAAACAGACACGCACGCACACACCCAAGGGCGAGAAGGAAGAGGAGGAACAAGAAGUUCAAGAGGAACAGUAGCCUAAGAAUAAGACUAAGACUAAGGCUCAGACUAACUAAGGAACAAAGGAGACAAAGAAAACCAACAGCAGAAGCCAAUUGCCACAGGGCUUAUCCAAGAAAUGAAAAGGUUCCACGAAGCAAAUUCCGGACCUUUCAUUCUAUUGCAUAUCUAUUCAGUGGUAAACGUAUGUAAUUGCUAUAUAUAUAUAUAUAUAUAUACAUAGGAGGAUGGGUAUAUAUAUAUGUGUUCUGGCACAUGUAAAAAUAAAUAAAGUAUUUUGAUUCCUUUGUAUGAUAUAUCUCUAUUAAACUUUGA